Molecule: ribosomal RNA, 445 nt
Filed under: uncultured bacterium
Lineage: Bacteria
Description: partial 16S ribosomal RNA
Rfam family: Bacterial small subunit ribosomal RNA
Source: RNAcentral
GUGAGGAAUAUUGGUCAAUGGGCGGAAGCCUGAACCAGCCAUCCCGCGUGGAGGAAGACGGCCCUAUGGGUUGUAAACUUCUUUUCAAGGGGAAGAAAGUUCGCGACGUGUCGCGAUUUGCCGGUACCUUUGGAAUAAGCAUCGGCUAACUCCGUGCCAGCAGCCGCGGUAAUACGGAGGAUGCGAGCGUUAUCCGGAUUUAUUGGGUUUAAAGGGUGCGUAGGCCGAUCGAUAAGUCAGCGGUGAAAUACCAUGGCCCAACCAUGGAACUGCCGUUGGUACUGUCGGUCUUGAAUAUGGUCAAGGUAGGCGGAAUGUGUAAUGUAGCGGUGAAAUGCUUAGAUAUUACACAGAACACCGAUUGCGAAGGCAGCUUACUGGUCCAUUAUUGACGCUGAGGCACGAAAGCGUGGGGAUCGAACAGGAUUAGAAACCCGUGUAGUCC